This is a non-coding RNA of Notechis scutatus (mainland tiger snake), 301 nucleotides long. NCBI's taxonomy places the organism in Eukaryota, Metazoa, Chordata, Lepidosauria, Squamata, Elapidae. The record is from RefSeq and is a predicted model, not a curated record.
ACACAGGAAACCAGAGGUAUGAACGAUGUUUGCAUGGGGUAGGAACGUUGGACAUACUAUUGAUCUGGAAGAAUGGGAAAAGAUUUGGAAUGUGAAUUAUAAAAUAACAAAAUAGGCGGCAUAUAAGGAAAACCAACAUAAAAUGUUCUAUCAUUGGCAUUUGGCACCUUCAAGACUGGCUAAGAUUUACCCAAACUUAAAACCAAAUUGUUGGAAGUGCGGACAACAACAAGGUACCUUCUUUCAUUCUUGGUGGACAUGCCCCAAAGCGAAAAAAUACUGGAAAAUGAUUCAAAUGUAG